CGGCGGACGGGUGAGUAAUGCCUAGGAAUCUGCCUGGUAGUGGGGGACAACGUUUCGAAAGGAACGCUAAUACCGCAUACGUCCUACGGGAGAAAGCAGGGGACCUUCGGGCCUUGCGCUAUCAGAUGAGCCUAGGUCGGAUUAGCUAGUUGGUGAGGUAAUGGCUCACCAAGGCGACGAUCCGUAACUGGUCUGAGAGGAUGAUCAGUCACAUGGAACUGAGACACGGUCCAGACUCCACGGGAGGCAGCAG
This 253-nucleotide ribosomal RNA is filed under the name uncultured Pseudomonas sp. Its description in RNAcentral is "partial 16S ribosomal RNA". It matches the Rfam family "Bacterial small subunit ribosomal RNA", at positions 96 to 354 of the family's 1533-position model. Lineage: Bacteria; Pseudomonadati; Pseudomonadota; Gammaproteobacteria; Pseudomonadales; Pseudomonadaceae. The record is from RNAcentral.